This 501-nucleotide long non-coding RNA is filed under the name Erythranthe guttata (spotted monkey flower). RNAcentral describes it as "long non-coding RNA (EGUT_LNC002753)". The record is from RNAcentral. Lineage: Eukaryota; Viridiplantae; Streptophyta; Magnoliopsida; Lamiales; Phrymaceae.
UCCAAGGAAAAGAUAUUCACGGAAACCAGGGAGAACACCAGAAAUAGCAGAAUUUGCUUUGUUAUAUACACACACACACACACACACACACACACACACACACACACACACACACACAUAUAUGAAAAGAGAGUAAAUCUAACCACCCCUUCACAUCACAUAAAAUAAAUCGAGACCCCAAUCGGAUGUAGCCAAAACAUAAUACAAUGCAGUGAUAUUUUUCUUCUUCCUAGUCGACUUGAGUAGCCAUAUUACAGUAUUACUUACAGCCAAAAACAUCGUUCUACAUUUGUUUUCCUUGCAGAUAUAACAUUCGAGAUAGUCUUCUCUUUAUUUUCCAAAUAAAAGAAUCAAUACAGGGAACCUUGUGAUUUUCAUUCUUUUACCAACUAGCUAAUUUGAUUUCGCGGAGGCUAAAAAGUGUUAAAUAUCUAAGCUUAAUUGGUAAUGUAAAACAAUGUAGUAGUCUAAACAUUCUCGGAUAAUUUUUUUAUGUUCUUG